Molecule: RNase P RNA, 330 nt
Filed under: bovine gut metagenome
Description: Bacterial RNase P class A
Rfam family: Bacterial RNase P class A
About the family: Ribonuclease P (RNase P) is a ubiquitous endoribonuclease, found in archaea, bacteria and eukarya as well as chloroplasts and mitochondria. Its best characterised activity is the generation of mature 5'-ends of tRNAs by cleaving the 5'-leader elements of precursor-tRNAs.
Source: RNAcentral
AAGACAUACAGUCGCUGUCGGCAUUUGCCGGCAGAGGAAAGUCCGGGCUUCGCAGGGCAGGAUGCCGGAUAACGUCCGGUGGAGGUGACUCCAAGGCCAGUGCAACAGAAACAGACCGCCCGUGUAUGCGGGUAAGGGUGGAAAGGCAGUGUAAGAGACUACCGCCCGUCCGGUAACGGCCGGGGCAGAUGUAAACCCCAUCCGAAGCAAGGCAAAGCAGAACUAUGCGGUGGCCCGCCGCGUUCUGCGGUGGCCGCGAUGAGCCGCCCGGCGACGGACGGCCAAGAUAGAUGACUGUACAUGACAGAACCCGGCUUACAGGCUUACUCG